RNAcentral lists this ribosomal RNA (447 nucleotides) under uncultured bacterium. RNAcentral's name for it is "partial 16S ribosomal RNA". It matches the Rfam family "Bacterial small subunit ribosomal RNA", at positions 29 to 523 of the family's 1533-position model. The record is from RNAcentral.
AACGAACGCUGGCGGCAGGCUUAACACAUGCAAGUCGAACGCAUCGCAAGAUGAGUGGCAGACGGGUGAGUAACGCGUGGGAACAUACCCUUUUCUACGGAAUAGCUCUGGGAAACUGGAAUUAAUACCGUAUACGCCCUACGGGGGAAAGAUUUAUCGGGGAAGGAUUGGCCCGCGUUGGAUUAGCUAGUUGGUGGGGUAAAGGCCUACCAAGGCGACGAUCCAUAGCUGGUCUGAGAGGAUGAUCAGCCACAUUGGGACUGAGACACGGCCCAAACUCCUACGGGAGGCAGCAGUGGGGAAUAUUGGACAAUGGGCGCAAGCCUGAUCCAGCCAUGCCGCGUGAGUGAUGAAGGCCUUAGGAUUGUAAAAUUCUUUCACCGGGGACGAUAAUGACGGUACCCGGAGAAGAAGCCCCGGCUAACUUCGUGCCAGCCGCCGCGGUAA